CGGCCCGUCAUCGGGGAGUAGCCGCCCGCAACAAUCAGCGGGGCUCGCGUCAACAUGCUUCCUCUCCCGGAGAGGAUGGCGCGGGAACGGUCCGGGACCCUCUUGGGGUCCGGAUC
Non-coding RNA from Caulobacterales bacterium, 116 nucleotides. Lineage: Bacteria; Pseudomonadati; Pseudomonadota; Alphaproteobacteria; Caulobacterales. The record is from Rfam.